UGAGGAAUAUUGGUCAAUGGGCGACAGCCUGAACCAGCCAUCCCGCGUGAAGGAAGAAAGCGCUAUGCGUUGUAAACUUCUUUUCCAGAGGGAUAAAAUGAUGUACGCGUACAUUACUGAAGGUGCUCUGGGAAUAAGCAUCGGCUAACUCCGUGCCAGCAGCCGCGGUAAUACGGAGGAUGCGAGCGUUAUCCGGAUUUGUUGGGUUUAAAGGGUGCGUAGGCGGGACAAUAAGUCAGUGGUGAAAACCUGCAGCUUAACUGUAGACUUGCCGUUGAUACUGUUGUUCUUGAGUAUGGUCAAGGCAGGCGGAAUGCGUAAUGUAGCGGUGAAAUGCUUAGAUAUUACACAGAACACCGAUAGCGAAGGCAGCUUGCUGGGCCGUUACUGACGCUGAGGGACGAAAGCGUGGGGAUCGAACAG
This 423-nucleotide ribosomal RNA is filed under the name uncultured bacterium. RNAcentral's name for it is "bacterial SSU rRNA". It matches the Rfam family "Bacterial small subunit ribosomal RNA", at positions 355 to 775 of the family's 1533-position model. The record is from RNAcentral.